Molecule: ribosomal RNA, 254 nt
Filed under: uncultured bacterium
Lineage: Bacteria
Description: partial 16S ribosomal RNA
Rfam family: Bacterial small subunit ribosomal RNA
Source: RNAcentral
UACAUAGGGUGCAAGCGUUGUCCGGGAAUUAUUGGGCGUAAAGAGCUCGUAGGUCGUUUGUUACGUCGGAUGUGAAAACCUGAGGCUCAACCUCAGGCCUGCAUUCGAUACGGGCAAACUAGAGUUUGGUAGGGGAGACUGGAAUUCCUGGUGUAGCGGUGGAAUGCGCAGAUAUCAGGAGGAACACCAAUGGCGAAGGCAGGUCUCUGGGCCAAUACUGACACUGAGGAGCGAAAGUCUGGGGAGCGAACAGG